RNAcentral lists this ribosomal RNA (406 nucleotides) under uncultured bacterium. RNAcentral describes it as "partial 16S ribosomal RNA". It matches the Rfam family "Bacterial small subunit ribosomal RNA", at positions 30 to 526 of the family's 1533-position model. The record is from RNAcentral.
AUUGAACGCUGGCGGCAGGCCUAACACAUGCAAGUCGAACGAGUGGCGGACGGGUGAGUAAUGUCUGGGAAACUGACCGAUGGAGGGGGAUAACUACUGGAAACGGUAGCUAAUACCGCAUACCAUCGGAUGUGCACAGAUGGGAGUAGCGAGUAGGUGGGGUAACGGAUAACCUAGGCGACGAUCCCUAGCUGGUCUGAGAGGAUGACCAGCCACACUGUAACUGAGACACGGUCCAGAAUCCUACGGGAGGCAGCAGUGGGGAAGAUUGCACAAGGGGCGAAAGCCUUAUGCAGCCAUGCCGCGUGUAUGAAGAAGGCCUUCGGGUUGUAAAGUACUUUCAGCGAGGAGGCGUUACUCGCAGAAGAAGCACCGGCUAACUCCGUGCCAGCAGCCGCGGUAAUAC